Molecule: long non-coding RNA, 893 nt
Organism: Cryptomeria japonica (Japanese cedar)
Lineage: Eukaryota; Viridiplantae; Streptophyta; Pinopsida; Cupressales; Cupressaceae
Exons: 3
Source: RefSeq, a predicted model, not a curated record
CAGAUAUUGGUUCCUUUACAAUUCUCUACCAGGGUAAUGAAGGGGGGCUUCAGAUGCGAUCCAAGGAAGGGGAAUGGCUGAAUGUGAAGCCGAUCCCGAAUUCAUUUGUUGUCAAUUUGGGAGAUUCAAUGAAGGGCAUUUGUAAAAGGAAAACCGUGCAGUGAUGGCAGGGUAGUGGAGGAUUGGAGUCGGUGUUGGCUACUGACAUAUAAAUUCCCUCUUCAUGCUAAGGAAAUAUGACAGGUCUCAAAAUCUUCUUCUCCAAGUCUGCAAUAGGUUGUUCGAGAUAGGAUAGUGAGGAGGUGGAAUAUGGAGCUGGGCAGUGACAAUGAAGGGUGCCAAAAUAUCUAGUGGUAGUAUAAUGCAUCUUAUAAAUUUUAAAUAUACAAAGUGAGUUUUAGUUAUUUGUUGGUGGGAAGAUUGAACCAAUUUUUGCAGGAUUCUGGAUGUCUUCUUAACAAUUAUGGAGUAAGUUGAGGGAUGCCUUGACUGUUUCUUUUCUAGAUGACUCAUUUGUAGAUAGUAGUAAACAUUUUACUCUGGAAUGGGGGAUGAGAGUUAGGGUAUAACUUGUAAUAAGUGAUUUUCCAUUGUUUCAAUUAUUUUUUAUGUUUGACAAACAUUAUGCGACCUCCCCUGUGCAUAAAAUAUGGUGGUGUUUGUUUGUGAUUUUCUUAACAUAUCAUAUUGCCUUCAAGAAGCACCAUCUGGAUUCCUUCCGACUGUUGUCAUUCAGGGUUGGAUUUAUUUUUGAAGUUGUGUAACAUAAGAGGAGUUUGGCAUGGGGUUUUAUUUGUGGUUUCUUUGGUAUAAGGAGGGAUUUGCCAUCAUAUUCCUCUCAGGGGAGUUUGGACAAAGAAUCCAACACUCAAAAUAUAUUCUUGUUAUCAUGU